RNAcentral lists this ribosomal RNA (417 nucleotides) under uncultured bacterium. RNAcentral's name for it is "bacterial SSU rRNA". It matches the Rfam family "Bacterial small subunit ribosomal RNA", at positions 355 to 776 of the family's 1533-position model. The record is from RNAcentral.
UAGGGAAUUUUGCGCAAUGGACGAAAGUCUGACGCAGCAACGCCGCGUGAGGGAUGAAGGCCUUCGGGUUGUAAACCUCUGUUGGAUGGGAAAAAAAUCCCGCAAGGGACUGAUGGUACCAUCUGAGGAAGCACCGGCUAACUACGUGCCAGCAGCCGCGGUAAUACGUAGGGUGCAAGCGUUGUUCGGAAUCACUGGGCGUAAAGAGAGCGUAGGCGGGAUUGUAAGUUAGGAGUUUAAUGCAUGGGCUUAACCCAUGACCUGCUCUUAAUACUGCAGUUCUUGAGUAUAGGAGAGGGCGAUGGAAUUCCAGGUGUAGCGGUGGAAUGCGUAGAUAUCUGGAAGAACACCAGUAGCGAAGGCGGUCGCCUGGCCUAAUACUGACGCUGAGGCUCGAAAGCUAGGGGAGCAAACAGG